UGGUCGGCUCCUCUCAAAUUUAUCAGCUUGCCAGUGUCUGGUGGCAUCACAGGUGUGAUAACUAUCUACGCUUGUGGUUUUCCACCAGGUAACCUUCAGUGAUAUGGAGGUUCGCUGGAGCUCAUAAACGUCUCUCCUCAGCGAGGACAUCUUUUUGAACGUUUGAUCUCAAAUCAGGUAGGGCUACCCGCUGAACUUAA
Molecule: unclassified non-coding RNA, 200 nt
Filed under: soil metagenome
Description: partial contains internal transcribed spacer 2 and large subunit ribosomal RNA
Source: RNAcentral